RNAcentral lists this ribosomal RNA (933 nucleotides) under uncultured fungus. RNAcentral's name for it is "SSU rRNA". It matches the Rfam family "Eukaryotic small subunit ribosomal RNA", at positions 564 to 1394 of the family's 1831-position model. Lineage: Eukaryota; Fungi. The record is from RNAcentral.
GUGCCAGCACGCCGCGGUAAUUCCAGCUCCAAUAGCGUAUAUUAAAGUUGUUGUGGUUAAAAAGCUCGUAGUUGAACCUUGGGCCUGGCUGGCCGGUCCGCCUCACCGCAUGCACUGGUCCGGCCGGGCCUUUCCCUCUGUGGAACCCCAUACCCUUCACUGGGCGUGGCGGGGAAACAGGACAUUUACUUUGAAAAAAUUAGAGUGCUCCAGGCAGGCCUAUGCUCGAAUACAUUAGCAUGGAAUAAUAAAAUAGGACGCGCGGUUCUAUUUUGUUGGUUUAUAGGACCGCCGUAAUGAUUAAUAGGGACAGUCGGGGGCAUCAGUAUUCAACUGUCAGAGGUGAAAUUCUUGGAUCAGUUGAAGACUAACUACUGCGAAAGCAUUUGCCAAGGAUGUUUUCAUUAAUCAGGAACGAAAGUUAGGGGAUCGAAGACGAUCAGAUACCGUCGUAGUCUUAACCAUAAACUAUGCCGACUAGGGAUCGGACGGUGUUAUUCAUGACCCGUUCGGCACCUUACGAGAAAUCAAAGUGCUUGGGCUCCAGGGGGAGUAUGGUCGCAAGGCUGAAACUUAAAGAAAUUGACGGAAGGGCACCACCAGGGGUGGAGCCUGCGGCUUAAUUUGACUCAACACGGGGAAACUCACCAGGUCCAGACACAAUAAGGAUUGACAGAUUGAGAGCUCUUUCUUGAUUUUGUGGUGGUGUGCAUGGCCGUUCUUAGUUGGUGGGGUGACUUGUCUGCUUAAUUGCGAUAACGAACGAGACCUUAACCUGCUAAAUAGCCCGCAUUGCUCCGCAGUGCGCUGCUUCUAGAGGACUUCGCUCAGCGAGAGUUGAGCAUACAGCUGGAUGCCUAGAUGUCUGACGCACGCCGCUAACCUGACGGUCGGCGGAGUCUUGACCGAAGGCCGGGUAAUCCUUGUUAAGUC